Long non-coding RNA from Felis catus (domestic cat), 5808 nucleotides. RefSeq lists it as uncharacterized. Lineage: Eukaryota; Metazoa; Chordata; Mammalia; Carnivora; Felidae. The record is from RefSeq and is a predicted model, not a curated record. The transcript has 2 exons.
AUCGGGUGUGAGGGAGCAAAGGCAGGUGGGGAGGGGGAAGCCAGUGUGUCUUUGUAGAGGGUGGGGGCAAGCGGGCUCGUGUCUGUGGGAGAAAGUAUGUGUGGUGGGGGAAUGGGUGUGCAGGGCGGUCAAGGGGGGUGUGAGGAGACCUUCUGUGUGAAAGCACGAGGAGGGGUGAUUUGUAUGUGUGUGGAAGGAGGAUGAGUAAAAAUGAAGAAUAAGUGGGGGGAUGUGUUUAUCUGAAGGGCGUUGGGGAGCAGCCGGUAUGGAGAGGGACAGUCGGGGUGGAGGGUGGGUUAUCGUGCACAGUGUGGGAUGUAGGGGUGCGUGUGUGUCUGACUACGGAGGUGACAGCGUGGGAAGUGAAAGUGGGUAUGGGGAGGGUAGGCUCCUUGUGGGUGACAAUUCGGGUAGGAAUGCUACUAAGGAGGCAUGGGUGGUCGUCUGCCCCCUGGGACUUGUCCUGGCCUCCGGGAUCAACAACCUAGACCGGCUUCACCGUGAAAUUCUUAUGGGACCAAAACAGAAGAGGGACAAUGAAAAACUGGGUGGCUGGUGACAUUCCUUUUAUCCUUUUGGGUGUUUUUUUUUUUUUUUUUUUUUUGACUUGACACUCAAGAAUCCCCACCCCGAUGCUGACUGAUGGGACCGUUGCUAGGUGGCGCCCCAGAGCUUGCUCCCACCCAGCAGGUCCCGCCUUUGCCCAGGGUCUGAACUGGUUUUUCCACUCUGCUCCUCAGAGAGCCCCUGCCUAUUGCCUGAGCAAUUAUAUUCCCUUCAGUCCAUUCCAUCCGACCAAGGGCAGAAGGACAUAAUCCCCCUGCAGCACAAGAAGGACAUCGGAGGCUUAAAAGGAGGCAUCAGUUAGCACCGAGGGAGAGGACACCUGCCUUCCUCGCACCCACCAGUCCUGCCUUUCAGAAGAAUGGUGCCCAGAGCCGCCGGGGUGGCUCAGUCAGUUAAGCCUCUGACUCUUCAUUUUGGCUCAGGUCAUGAUCUCACAGUUCAUGUGUCGGGAAAAUAAAUCAAGUUUUCCACCAUAAGAUGGUCGAUGGGACGAAAACAAGCUCUGGUCUCUAGCUUGGAGUCCCCUCUUCCGGAUUCUUCUCGCCCUGUUUGCCGUCUGUGUGAAAACCACCCCCCCCGCAACGAAUAUGGAGGCUGACAAUGAUAAAUUACCCUUCCCGCUUGCAUUCGGCGCUCAGAUCUUUGGAGACACGGUCUCCUCGGAGCCCGCCGGUGUUAAAGAAAUCUCCGAUCCACCAAGACCUCCAAGUGCCGCUUGGUUUUUCUGCCAGCAUUCCAGCUUGGUUCCGGAACAAUGAGUUUAAGCCCCGAAUCAGGAUCUGCCCUGACUGGGAUUCUGUCUCCCUCCCUCUCUCUGACCUUCCUCUGUUUGCUCUCUCUCUCUAUUUCUCAAAAAUAAAUAAAUAAAUAUUUUACGGAAGGAGGAGGAGGAGGAGAGGAAGGGGAAGGGGAAGGAGAAGGAUGGUACCUGGCAUCCCAGAGACUAGAAUUCUGAUAAUUCCCUUCUUCCCUGUCUCAGUCUGAUGGAGCACAGACUGGCUGGCUUAUACACAAUUUUUUCCCCCACAGUUCUGGAGUCUCGGAAGUCCAAGAUUAAGGCUUGGGCAGGUGUCUGGGGAGGGCCUGCCACCUGGCUCAUUGACAGCUGUCUUCUCACUGUGCCCUCACACUGUAGAAGGGUCGGGGGAAGUCGAGGCUUUUUUAAUAAGGGCACCGGUCCCAUUCGUGGCCUGUCUUCUCAAAGGCCCCACCUCCCAAUACCGUCACACUGGGGGUUGGGAUUUCAGCAUGUCAAUUUGGGGGGGGACACAAACAUUGAGUCUGUGGCACUCCCCUCCCAGCUGUCAUCUGUGCUUUUCUCGCACAGACUCGUAAGGUCUUUCCUGCGACUUCACUGUCACCUCUCAGCCCAGGCCUGGUGCCCUCCAGCAGAGGGCAGUGCGUGACGGUGACACUUUCCCCUCAUUGUGACAGUGACAGCAACAGGUUCGAACCCUUGGCUCUCCUAGAGGAGAAGUAAAUGCCACCAAAGUGUGGUCAGAACAGAGCCAAACUCUAGGGAAGACGUGAAGCAAGGACUCAGGACAAUCUUGAUCCUGACGGACAUUCAGCUGGAGAAAGGGUGGGCCCAGGGGAAAGAGUGGUGGGAACCAGGCCCCGAAGACCAUGGGGGUGAAGAGGAGAAUGGGUCUUGGGGGAGGGAGGCAGGUGGCUUUGGCCACUCUCAGUAAAAACCAGAAAGGUCCAACUCCAGGGACCCAGGAAACCCAAUUGACAAUAAGAACAGGACUUGAGCAACAGCUUGGGACGUGCACAGAGAGAAGCACAUAGGUGUUCAGGGCACAGGAAGCAUAAGGCCAUGUUGGGCAGUAAGGACUCCCCUGAGUGAUCUCUGUAGAUGUUGGAGAGAAGGUCCUCCCGCCUUCCAAGUCAAGAUGCUUUGUAAACUUGAUGCAGAUGUGAUGAGGUUUUGGGGGGAUGGGAGUGGAGCGUAGAGCCCAUGGCCAAGAAAGAAUUCUCAGAGACCAUCUUGGGUGCACAAAGGUGAUUUUACUAAAGCAUGGGGGACAGGACCCGAGGGCAGGAAGAGCUGCACUGGGGUUGUGAAGUGACUCUCUCUCUCCUUCUCUCUCCCCUUCAUGGGAUUCUCUCUCUCUGCCCCUCGCUCACUUGUGCUCACUUGCUCCCUCAAUCUCUCUCCUUCUCAGAAAAAGAAAAAAAAAAAAAAAAAAGUAAGGGCCUCCUAUAGCAGAGUAACCUUGACCUGGGCAGGCUCACCUCUAAGUCCUGAUGAAGCCUUACCGUCUUGGGGCAGUGGGAAAGGGCUGGCACCUCUAACGAGGUUCAGGCUUAUUUCUAUUUUAAAGCUGGACUCUGAGGUGAAAUGUGAACAUGCUUGGCAAGUUAUGGUUUAAGUCAGACUAGGUUGCUGCCUUAAGGCUCACCUAGUGAGUACUGGGGUGGCAGCAGGAACCCAGGGAAUGGACAUACCUAGAUAUGGGCAGGGGCAGCAUCAUGGUGGGUCCAGAUGAUCGCUUUUCACAGGGUAGGGGAGGCCAUGCACAGAGCUGCAGGCACAGGGGUCUGGUGGAAGGCGCCUGAGGACGCACCUGCCUCAGCCAAGCAGGCUGGGGUUUAGGCUGCAGUCCCCGCAGCAAAGGGGAUUGGUGAGCAGGGAGGAAGGCAGAAGACCAGUUUUAGAAACCACAUCUCAACAGUGAGGAUUUAAAGGGGGGCUGGGAGUCCAUGGACACUUGGGGUUGAACUCAGCCAGCUUCUUUCUGGCCGCCUGAACCUGCUGUUCAAGGGCUACAUGUCUGGACAGGGAUGGGACAGGGUUCAACUGGUGAAUGUCAGUGUCCAAGCUGAGCUGAGGGGAGGUGGGAGGUAGGUGAGGCCCAGGGAGGGGAGUGUGAGUGAUAAGGAGUAAAAAAUGGUGGAGCCGGCCACAAUGGUGGCAGCCAACCAUGUCUCAUAGUCUUCCUGGCAGAGGAAGGGUCAAUGGAGGGUUCACACUCAUCGUGGAGCCCUACAUAGGGCUUGAUCCCAUAACCCUGAGAUCAUGACCUGAGCUGAAAUCAAAAGUCUGAUGCUCAUUUGAUGGAGCCACCCAAGAACCCCUCAUAAUCCAUAUUUUAAAUCAAUUUCUUAGAUAAAGACAGAAGACACGAUUGUCCUCUAAGGUGCUACAAAGCCAAAAGGGAUACAAAGUAUGUUAGAUGAGCCACCUGGGUGGCUCAGGAGGUUAAGCAUCUGACUCUUGAUUUUGGCUCAGGUCAUGAUCAAGAGUUCGAGCCCCUCAUUGGGUUCCACGCUGGCAGUACAGAACCUUCUUGGGAUUCCCUUUCUUCCCCUCACCCAUGUGCAUGCUCUCGCUCUCGCUCUCUCAAAAUGAAUAAACUUUUUUUAAAAAGGUAUAUUGGAUGACAGAAUCGAACUCUAAAACUUCAUGAUACGAUGGACCAAUGGACUAAAAGAAAAUAGUGCUGGCCAACAGUUAUAGAGUCUAUACCAUGCUUUUGCCAUUGUUUCAGGUGCUUCAAAUGCUUUGCUUCCCUUAACCCUCACAAGCAUGGGAAGUAAGGUAAUUAAUCAUUUCUAUAUGGUGGAUGCACGUUCUGGGGUGAGGGCUCAGAAGACCCUUCUGCACACCUCCAGAUCUCUUACCCUGUAGCUCUCUCCUCUCUGGUACUCCGCCCCGUGGAUUCUAGCCACCUGGCCCCUUUAAAUUCUCAAUGCCACUUUCUCUGCUCAGAGAGAUUUCCAGGCUCCCUUUGGGUUCCCCUCCCAGCCCUGCAGUCUGGAAUCCCUCUCCGGGCAGGAAGCCAAGGCAGUCAGAAGGAUCACUUCCUUAGUGUCCCUUGUCCUGGGUCCUGCACUGCCUGUUAUCCGCUGUCCAAAGCACAUUGUUUCUUUUUUUUUAUUUAUUUUUUUGUAUUUUUCAUCUAAGUUGAGGGAUAAAUCAUAUUCCUUUAUUACAGCUGUCGCAGAAUCAGAGCCUGUUUUUUUAAAAUGAAAAAUGCUUUAUGACUCAUUAUAAAAUCUUUUUAAUUAUAAAAAUUUCAACCGAUACAAAGUCUUAUAAAGUAAAAAAGUGAGUAUUCCCCUCCGCUAUUCUCAUCUCACACCACAGAAACCACCAGUGUUAACAGUAAACACAUUAAGUCAUUUCCACUUUUCUCCAAAGGACCCUCUUGUGAAGUUAGAGUGUUAGGGAACCAGGCUGCAUCACUGACAGAAGAACCAAGCGGCACUCGGGGAUCUUGGAGGAUCAGAGGUUUAUUUACAUCGUUGGACUCCAGGGAGACGGUCUCUCCAAAGAUCUGAGUCCUGAGCAUAAACAUAGGGGACAAUUUGCAGUCUGUUUCUUCCACAUUAGUUGGCAAUUUGGCACACGUGGUAAGCGAGGCAGGAAGAAGAACCCAGAAGGAGAGUCUUCGGGCGAGGACUGGAGAUGCCCCCUCUGUCGGCCAUCCUAUAACAUCAUUUUUCCCUAUCAAGGUCAGGGUUUGGUUUUUUUCCCCAUCAGUAGAGGGGGGAGUCUUUGGCAGUGCUGGGAGGAUUGGAAAUGAAUGUUCCUGAGAAACUCUGUCCCUGCCACUUCUCCCUCAUUAUCUCUCCCAUGGAACAUGUGGGCUGGAUGUCAUUCUAUAUUGACUUCCCUUUCACUGUCCCAAAGGCAGGAGUAAGAGUCACGUGUCCAUCUUAAAAUCUCUGUGACGGCCACAUAAAAUCAUGUACAUGAAAGUGUUUGGCAAACUUUGAAAUCAUUACAAUUGGUAGUUACUAUUAUAUUAUCAUACGUGUUUAUGUUUCAUAUUAAUAAUAAUAAUUGUUAUUAUAGAAGAUUUGAUGAUACCUUUAGGGUCCAUUUUUUAUCACAAGUGAAAGGUUCUCUUUACCAUAAGCCUACUCACACUCUCUGAGGUCUAAGGCAAAAGGAAUCCUUAUGUUGUCAAAUGUAUCUUUAAGUGGCUUCUGUUGCGUGGGGUCAAGAUCCCAUAUGCGGGAGGACCUGCAGCCCAAAGUGAGCCACUCCCUUUAGGGCUCAGAAGCCAGUUUUUCAACUUCAAAGUCACGCACAAACACACCCUUAAAAACUUUAUGAUUUAUAAAAACUUUAUAAUUGCUCUUGUUCAUGGGAUGGCAAAAAAUUAGGCUGAUACUUCUUUUCUUUUCCAUUAUUAUCUUCUAAUUGUAGCUCCGACUCUGCUCUGGAUCUGAAAGCAACGGGUUCCUUAGGGUCAGCUCUGGAAAUAAAAAACAAAACAAAAUAGCAGA